UAUUAUAAAAUUAAAAUUGGGGUUUCCGAACUCGAGAGAGGACAAGGACGACGAUGACGACGAUAAAGCCGCAAAGAAAUUGAAAAGUGGAUUUGGAUUUAUUGAAGCGGAGUUUUGCGAUCUCAAUACUGUUAGUUGCAGUGUUAUAAAGCGAAUUUGAGUUUUGAAGUUUGAGACUCGGGCGAUGGCGCAAGGGAACGGAAAGGGAAGUGAUGAGCAACAGCAACAAUAUCGGGAAUUUCAAGGAGACAAAAAUUUUCAAACUAAUACAGUUCAUUCCAUUUUAGCUGUGGCUUUAUGGCUGGGAGCUAUCCACUUCAAUGUCCUUUUGGUCGUUGUCUCCUUCCUUUUCUUCCCUCUCUCCAUAUUGGUUAUUGUGUUGGGAUUGCUAUUAGUCUUUAUGUUUGUUCCUAUUGAUCAGCAUAGCAAAUUUGGCAAACGCUUGUCCAGGUACAUCUGUAAGCAUGCAUGCAAUUAUUUUCCUGUCACUCUACAUGUUGAAGAUUUCAAUGCCUUCCAUCCCGAUCGUGCUUACGUUUUUGGUUAUGAGCCUCAUUCAGUUUUGCCAAUUGGGGUUGUUUCACUUGCUGACAAUACAGGGUUCAUGCCUCUCCCAAAAAUAAAGGUCCUUGCUAGCAGCGCUGUUUUCUACACACCGUUUAUGAGGCAUAUAUGGACAUGGUUGGGCCUUACACCAGCAACAAAGAAAAAUUUCACUUCUCUAUUGGCUGCUGGUUAUAGUUGCAUCAUAGUGCCUGGUGGAGUACAGGAGACAUUUCUCAUGGAGCAUAAUUCAGAGAUUGUCUUUCUUAAGGCAAGAAGAGGAUUUGUUCGCAUUGCCAUAGAGAUGGGUCGGCCCCUGGUUCCAGUGUUUUGUUUUGGUCAGUCAUAUGUGUAUAAGUGGUGGAAGCCAGGUGGGAAGUUGUUCCUCCAGUUUGCUAGAGCCAUUAAAUUCACCCCCAUUUACUUCUGGGGACUUUUUGGAAUUCUGUAAGUUGAGGCUAGCCAAUUAGAAAAUAGAUCUCCUCUACCCUAUCAACAUCCAAUGCAUGUAGUGGUGGGCAAACCAAUAGAAGUUAAGAAAAAUCCACAACCUACAAUGGAAGAGGUGAAUGAAGUACACAAACAAUUUGUUGAAGCACUUCAAGAUCUGUUUGAAAGACAUAAAGCAGGGGUUGGCUAUCCCGAUCUUAAGUUAAAAAUUCUUUGAUCAGGUUGUAACAUAUCAAAAUGCUGGCUCACCUUUGAUUAAUUAGGUUUAUAUGUGUGCCAUCUUCCUUUUUUAUACAGAACACUGUACUUGACUCAUGACAUUGUAUUUAAUGAGCUAAGGAAGAACAUAGAUCUUUAAAUGCC
This is an RNA transcript of Mangifera indica (mango), 1356 nucleotides long. It is a transcript of the gene named diacylglycerol O-acyltransferase 2D, with no coding region annotated. The transcript has 10 exons. NCBI's taxonomy places the organism in Eukaryota, Viridiplantae, Streptophyta, Magnoliopsida, Sapindales, Anacardiaceae. The record is from RefSeq and is a predicted model, not a curated record.